Molecule: ribosomal RNA, 340 nt
Filed under: Bacillus thuringiensis
Lineage: Bacteria; Bacillati; Bacillota; Bacilli; Caryophanales; Bacillaceae
Description: bacterial SSU rRNA
Rfam family: Bacterial small subunit ribosomal RNA
Source: RNAcentral
UUUAUUGGAGAGUUUGAUCCUGGCUCAGGAUGAACGCUGGCGGCGUGCCUAAUACAUGCAAGUCGAGCGAAUGGAUUAAGAGCUUGCUCUUAUGAAGUUAGCGGCGGACGGGUGAGUAACACGUGGGUAACCUGCCCAUAAGACUGGGAUAACUCCGGGAAACCGGGGCUAAUACCGGAUAACAUUUUGAACUGCAUGGUUCGAAAUUGAAAGGCGGCUUCGGCUGUCACUUAUGGAUGGACCCGCGUCGCAUUAGCUAGUUGGUGAGGUAACGGCUCACCAAGGCAACGAUGCGUAGCCGACCUGUGAGGGUGAUCGGCCACACCGGCACUGAGGCACG